This 2636-nucleotide long non-coding RNA is filed under the name Mus musculus (house mouse). Its description in RNAcentral is "long non-coding RNA chr6:87533406-87536042". The record is from RNAcentral. Lineage: Eukaryota; Metazoa; Chordata; Mammalia; Rodentia; Muridae.
GGUUUUAAUUAAAUGGAAAGAGACUCCCAAGGCUCUCGCCAUGUGCCUGGACUCCUGUGUUCGCCUCCUUGACUCCAGAUUUUGGCGGCUAAAAGAGGCCAGGCAGGCAGCCAGCAUUCUGCCCAAGAAUGGGCAGCAUCUUUAAAAAUUCCUGCCGUGAAAGGACCACAUAGUUCACACCUGCUUGGGUAGAAGGUUUCCAGCAGGUACUUUGAUUCCAGCCAGGCAGAGCCACACAAAGGGUCACUGCUUCUCCCCCCUUGUGUAUGCUGUGGCGUUUACAACCAGACCACCAUGUGUAAAAAAAUUCAGUUUUCCUCCCCUUUUAACAGACUCUUCCUGGGCCUCCACGACUUCUUCAGAGAAACAGGAUCCUUAACAACUGUGGGGUAAGGAGUCGUUGCAGAAGCUGGUGGGACAGACUCUUGACACACAGCCAAUACCCCACAAGCACUUAUUUGACCUUCAUUCUAUCUAGCCCAGUCUGUGGCAGACUUUUACAUCUUCAAAUAGGUCACCUUGAGCUAGCGGUUGAGCUGAUAGGUCCUCGAACCAGACUGCUGUGUUCAAAUUCUCAGGCCGGUUGACUUUGGAUGUGGCUCUUGAACCAUUAUUUUCUGUUUUGAUUCCCUCAUCUGUAAGUGUAGCACUUAACAGACUGAUUUUGCAGGGCUGCUAUGAGGUUUCUGCAGGCUCCAAGCCUUCCAUGUAAUCACCAAGCACACCGCACAUGCCUGGGGCCUGGGCCAUCUACCUCAGUUCUCCUGGAUAACUGCUUUUCAACACCUCCCACGGGCUAUGGACAGGUGACCCACCUUCCCGUUACCUGCUGCAUGGACCACCUCACCUCUCCCCAGCUCAGCUCCAUCUCCUCUUUCUAUUUUCUCUUGGAUCUUUCCAAUCAAUAUUAGCACUACAAUGUUUUUCAUAUCAAAAAAAAUCUCUCUUGACACUACUUCCUCCUUUGGCUAUAGACUAUUUCUGAGAAUUUUUUUUUUAAAUUAAGGACUGUUGGACUUACUGUGAUCGCUCCUCUUUUUCCUUCCUGGAUUUCUCCCAUUGAGGCUUUUGCCCCCAGGACCCCAUAGAGUGGCUUCUCAAGACACCAACAGCUUUCCUGUCACUGAACCAGGUCUCCAUCCUCACCUCUCAGCCUUAUCAGCAAUGGACAGAGGUGGCCGCUGCCAAUUUGUAGAACUCUGUGAACCAGACUGGUUUUCUGCCUCUUUUCCUGGUACUCUAUGUCCGGUUUCUCUCUUUAUCCUUUCUCUCACUGUAAGUUGGGCUUACAGUGGGUGUAAAGAUACAUCUUUAUCAUCUUGAUGAUCAUGGCUGCCCUAAGACUUUAGUUACACCACAUAGAUAAUGGCCCACAUAUAUAAUGUAUGGAUGUUUCCAGACUAGACCACUUUUGAGUUCCAAGUUAUGUACAUCGUUGCUUUCAUCUCUAAGAGGCAUCACAGACUAAUGUGAACACCUGGGGCCUGAGUGUGCUGACCCAGGGCGUGUCCUUCUCACUGAGAACUAAAGGACCACAUGAACAAUAAAUAUAUCCCAAGCCUCUGUGCUCAUCUUCUCUGCUUAUGUUUCAUUGGCCAACAUGAGUCACAUGAGCAAGCACACCAACACAGAGACAGGAAGUACACACAGCAAUGAGAGAAAAGGGACUGCCUAGCUUACCCAGCUGCCACCCGGUGCCACAGGGGUGCUGGAUUCCUUAACUUUGGCUCAGGCUCUUGGGGACUUUGGAGUCUGUGAUCUACAGUACUUCCUGCCUGGCCCAGCACACUGUUCCCUAUCUGAUAGCCCCCCUGAGCACCAUCCUAGUAGCAGCUCCAUGUGGAGCUUCAGUCCUGGACCUUUAAGUUAGGAAUUCUGACGACAUUCUGAAGGUGGCAUUUAGAGACACAUAGGGAACUUCCUGGACUCUUUGGGGGUGAGUUCCUGUGAGUCUCGGAAAAACAUAUGACCCGAGGGGAAGUUGGUGUGCACACUCAGAAAGUCAGUCAGCAAACUCAGCAGCAGCUAUGGCAAGGCUGCUCGAAGCCGCCCACAGAGUCUGGUGCUGGCUAUCAGAUCCUGAGUGGGGGUCAGUGGGAGUCAACGUUACUCCUGAGGGGGAGUAGAAACUUGCUGUGGCUACUUCGGCACAUCUCUGACCUUUAGAAGAUGAAGAACUGGAUGUCUGAUAGUAAAGACUGAGUUAACAUCAGCAUUAAGGAAAGAAAACAUCCAUGUGUUUGCUUAUUUAUCCUGACCAUUUAUUAAGACGUCAACGUUUUGCUGGAGGAAAGUUCAUGAGCGAGCAACUUGAUUUCAAUCUCUCUCCUUCCUUUCUCUCUUCUCACCUCCCAGAUGCAACCAAUAGGAAGGAGGAGCCCAAUUCAGUGACCGGCUAAAUAUAACAGGAUAUGUGCUGAGGAAGAAUGGGAGCUGUGAGAGUCCCUGUGGGAGGGGCAUGAGUGGGACCGGAGAGAGAGGGAAGGUGUCCUGAAGCAGCGGCUGCCACACUCUGACUUGACAAAUGUGUCAGAGAGAUGGAAAGAUUUCAAAAAGGACCGGCUGUGGUGCUUCGCGCUGAGGCUGAGGUGGGCAGAGUUUAAGAGCAGCCUGUACAUCAAGAGUCAGAGACUGUC